GCCCAAUCCUACUAUAUCCAGACAUAUAUAAAUGUUUGUAGGGUUUCCUAAAUGAUGUUGUUAUCUUCUACGCUGUUCCAGCUUAGUUUCAAUUGAAAAAUGGAUCCGCCAUCUCUGAAUCAACAAUUUGUGAGGCUUUCUCUGUGAAUCAUCAACAUUGUUCCCUGGAGAUUGCAAAUUCCUUCUAUUAACAGCUCUCAAAAAUAUGGCUGGGAUGGAGGUAGGGGAUGCUUGGACCCGCACAUGUUUGAACUGUAUUCUGCUUCUCAGGUGGAUUAGGUGCUUCCAUCUCACUCAACCCUCCCCUUUUACCUAGAGUCUAUUUUUGAUGGCUGUGUUUGUAUAGGCUAGGCAGCUUUUGUAUUUAGCUAUAGCCUUAAUCAACCGCAUAUCCUUUUUUCAGUGAAACUCUAAUGUAUGGACACUGUAGCUUAUCACUGUAUAGGAUUUUCUUUUCUUUGACUUCUAGUUGCUGAAAAGGCGUUAUGCUGAAUCCUCCUUUAUCAAUUAUUGUAUUUGCUAAAUGAUCUGCCAA
Molecule: long non-coding RNA, 535 nt
Organism: Capsicum annuum
Lineage: Eukaryota; Viridiplantae; Streptophyta; Magnoliopsida; Solanales; Solanaceae
Exons: 2
Source: RefSeq, a predicted model, not a curated record